Molecule: non-coding RNA, 403 nt
Filed under: uncultured fungus
Lineage: Eukaryota; Fungi
Also listed under: 1 other name
Source: RNAcentral
AGAGUGAAAUAGUACGUGAAAUUGUUAAAAGGGAAACGAAUGAGACCAGUAAUCUCAGCAGUUAAUCAGCCAACUGGACGUAGUUCAGAGUUGUUUGGGGAGUGUUAAGCCCCCAGCAAUUCUGUAACUGCGUCUUACUGGUGCACUUGGCUGCUGAGGAGUCAACAGCAGUUUGGACUGAUGGACAAACUCCAGCGGGAGGUAGCCACCUUGGUGGUGUUUAACCGCUGGAUGUACACAUCGGUCUGGACUGAGGAUCGCAGGGUGCCUUUUGGCAGGGCGACCUAGUGCUGUUGAGUACUUUGUCUUAGGCCAGCUUGCUGACUGAGAUGAUGCUACUUAUCAAUCGCUGGGCUCCGCUACAAUCACCCUUAGGUUGUUGACGAAAUGGUCUUAUCCGACC